UCGACCUGAGGUCAGGCAAGAA
This 22-nucleotide ribosomal RNA is filed under the name Trebouxia sp. P-116-IIbA. Its description in RNAcentral is "partial 26S ribosomal RNA". Lineage: Eukaryota; Viridiplantae; Chlorophyta; Trebouxiophyceae; Trebouxiales; Trebouxiaceae. The record is from RNAcentral.